Non-coding RNA from Vicugna pacos (alpaca), 72 nucleotides. Lineage: Eukaryota; Metazoa; Chordata; Mammalia; Artiodactyla; Camelidae. The record is from the annotation of a RefSeq genome assembly.
GAGGGUAUAGCUCAGUGGUAGAGUACAUGCCUAGUGUGCAUGAAGUCCUGGGUUCAAUUCCCAGUAUCUCUG